AAUAAGCGCACACGGUGGAUGCCUAGGCGGUCAGAGGCGAUGAAGGACGUGGUAGCCUGCGAAAAGUGUCGGGGAGCUGGCAACAAGCUUUGAUCCGGCAAUAUCCGAAUGGGGAAACCCACUGCUUCGGCAGUAUCUUGCAGUGAAUUCAUAGCUGCUUGAAGCGAACCCGGUGAACUGAAAUAUCUAAGUAACCGGAGGAAAAGAAAUCAACCGAGAUUCCCUGAGUAGUGACGAGCGAACGGGGAACAGCCCUUAAGCUGGAAUGGCUUUAGAAAAACAAUCUGGAAAGAUUGGCCAUAGAAGGUGAUAGCCCUGUAUUUAAAAGGGCCACUCCAGUGAAGACGAGUAGGGCGGGGCACGUGAAACCCUGUCUGAAUAUGGGGGGACCAUCCUCCAAGGCUAAAUACUCCUGAAAGACCGAUAGUGAACAAGUACUGUGAAGGAAAGGUGAAAAGCACUUCGAAUAGAAGGGUGAAAUAGAACCUGAAACCGUACGCCUACAAGCGGUCGGAGCACCUAUAUGGUGUGACGGCGUGCCUUUUGCAUAAUGAGCCUACGAGUUAAUUUUACUAGCGAGGUUAAGGACUUCAGGUCCGGAGCCGGAGCGAAAGCGAGUCUGAAUAGGGCGAUUGAGUCGCGUGUCCUAGACCCGAAGCGGAGUGAUCUACCCAUGGCCAGGUUGAAGCGCGUGUAAGAGCGCGUGGAGGACCGAACCCACUUCAGUUGAAAAUGGAGGGGAUGAGCUGUGGGUAGGGGUGAAAGGCCAAUCAAACUCCGUGAUAGCUGGUUCUCCCCGAAAUGCAUUUAGGUGCAGCGUUGCGUGGUU
RNAcentral lists this ribosomal RNA (829 nucleotides) under Aurantiochytrium limacinum. Its description in RNAcentral is "partial Bacterial large subunit ribosomal RNA". It matches the Rfam family "Bacterial large subunit ribosomal RNA", at positions 10 to 891 of the family's 2925-position model. The record is from RNAcentral. Lineage: Eukaryota; Bigyra; Thraustochytrida; Thraustochytriidae.